Molecule: ribosomal RNA, 462 nt
Filed under: uncultured bacterium
Lineage: Bacteria
Description: bacterial SSU rRNA
Rfam family: Bacterial small subunit ribosomal RNA
Source: RNAcentral
AACAGGAUGUGCUUGCACAUCGCUGACGAGUGGCGGACGGGUGAGUAAUGCUUGGGAACUUGCCUUUGCGAGGGGGAUAACAGUUGGAAACGACUGCUAAUACCGCAUAAUGUCUUCGGACCAAACGGGGCUUCGGCUCCGGCGCAAAGAGAGGCCCAAGUGAGAUUAGCUAGUUGGUAAGGUAACGGCUUACCAAGGCGACGAUCUCUAGCUGUUCUGAGAGGAAGAUCAGCCACACUGGGACUGAGACACGGCCCAGACUCCUACGGGAGGCAGCAGUGGGGAAUAUUGCACAAUGGGGGAAACCCUGAUGCAGCCAUGCCGCGUGUGUGAAGAAGGCCUUCGGGUUGUAAAGCACUUUCAGUUGUGAGGAAAAGUUAGUAGUUAAUACCAGCUAGCCGUGACGUUAACAACAGAAGAAGCACCGGCUAACUCCGUGCCAGCAGCCGCGGUAAUACGGAG